RNAcentral lists this long non-coding RNA (710 nucleotides) under Salmo salar (Atlantic salmon). RNAcentral's name for it is "lncRNA (ENSSSAG00000099041.1)". The record is from RNAcentral. Lineage: Eukaryota; Metazoa; Chordata; Actinopteri; Salmoniformes; Salmonidae.
AGAGAGAGAAGUAGGGAGAGAGAGAGAGAAGUAGGGAGAGAGAGAAGUAGGGAGAGAGAGAGAGAGAAGUAGGGAGAGACAGAGAGAGAAGUAGGGAGAGAGAGAAGUAGGGAGAGACAGAGAGAAGUAGGGAGAGAUAGAGAGAAGUAGGGAGAGAGAGAGAGAGAAGUAGGGAGAGAGAGAGAAGUAGGGAGAGAGAGAGAGAGAAGUAGGGAGAGAGAGAGAGAAGUAGGGAGAGAGAGAGAGAAGUAGGGAGAGAGAGAGAGAGAAGUAGGGAGAGAGAGAGAGAGAAGUAGGGAGAGAGAGAGAGAGAAGUAGGGAGAGAGAGAGAGAAGUAGGGAGAGAGAGAGAGAGAAGUAGGGAGAGAGAGAGAGAAGUAGGGAGAGAGAGAGAGAAGUAGGGAGAGACAGAGAGAGAAGUAGGGAGAGACAGAGAGAGAAGUAGGGAGAGAGAGAGAGAGAAGUAGGGAGAGACAGAGAGAGAAGUAGGGAGAGACAGAGAGAGAAGUAGGGAGAGAGAGAGAGAAAAGUAGGGAGAGAGAGAGAGAAGGAGAGAGAGAGAGAAGUAGGGAGAGACAGAGAGAAGUAGGGAGAGAGAGAGAGAAGUAGGGAGAGACAGAGAGAGAAGUAGGGAGAGAGAGAGAGAAGUAGGGAGAGAGAGAGAAAGAAGUAGGGAGAGAGAGAGAGAAGUAGGGAGAGAGAGAGAGAGAA